GUCAACGAGACGCACAGGUAUCCCGGACUAAAUCAAACAACAUUACUUGGAUCAAAGUGCAGUGUCCGAUACAGCGAAACAGUUCAGAUUGCGGAUACUAUGUUUUGAGGUUUAUGAAAGAAAUCCUUCAAACGAAUCAAUUAGAGAUUCCAAUCACGUACUUUGACGACUUCUAUGCUGCUUCUUACACGAGACUUAAGUUGGAAGAAAUCAAAGAGGAUUUGUGUC
This is a long non-coding RNA of Vicia villosa (hairy vetch), 228 nucleotides long. RefSeq lists it as uncharacterized. The record is from RefSeq and is a predicted model, not a curated record. The transcript has 3 exons. NCBI's taxonomy places the organism in Eukaryota, Viridiplantae, Streptophyta, Magnoliopsida, Fabales, Fabaceae.